This 492-nucleotide ribosomal RNA is filed under the name uncultured bacterium. Its description in RNAcentral is "partial 16S ribosomal RNA". It matches the Rfam family "Bacterial small subunit ribosomal RNA", at positions 29 to 507 of the family's 1533-position model. The record is from RNAcentral.
AGUGAACGCUGGCGGUAGGCCUAACACAUGCAAGUCGAACGGCAGCACAGUAAGAGCUUGCUCUUACGGGUGGCGAGUGGCGGACGGGUGAGGAAUACAUCGGAAUCUACUUUUUCGUGGGGGAUAACGUAGGGAAACUUACGCUAAUACCGCAUACGACCUACGGGUGAAAGCAGGGGAUCUUCGGACCUUGCGCGAUUGAAUGAGCCGAUGUCGGAUUAGCUAGUUGGCGGGGUAAAGGCCCACCAAGGCGACGAUCCGUAGCUGGUCUGAGAGGAUGAGCAGCCACCCUGGAACUGAGACACGGUCCAGACUCCUACGGGAGGCAGCAGUGGGGAAUAUUGGACAAUGGGCGCAAGCCUGAUCCAGCCAUACCGCGUGGGUGAAGAAGGACUUCGGGUUGUAAAGCCCUUUUGUUGGGAAAGAAAAGCAGCAGGUUAAUACCCCGCUGUUCUGACGGUACCCAAAGAAUAAGCACCGGCUAACUUCGUG